GUCGUCAGAGCAAACAACAUGGACGAUGAUUAAAGUAUUUGAGUUCAAAACUGUUUUUUUCCUCUGAUAUAUGUAGCUGGUGCGUUAGAAAUCGGGUCUUCGGAGAGGCUUACGAUUAGUACCACCGCAAGACAGAGAAACAGACCAUAAUAGCUCGUGCGAGCUUCGCAUGUCGGCGAAGAUAAGAAACACACUAAGUUGUGUGAUUUAAAAUUUCUUGACGAUCGCCUGCUUAUGAAGCUAUAACGGAGGUCAAUGAAAGUUUUUGCGCAAAAUGCAAUAGAUUCUGGGAUUACCGAGGCCCGAAGUAACAAGGUUAGCGCAUGGUUAACAAACACGGUCGGAAACCAAAUUUUCGUCGCCCGUGACAGCUAAAAGGUACGAAAACAAAAUGAAGGUAAUCUGUAGGACAAAUACGUGGCGUUACCCACAAUCAGUUACUUACAUCACAAGUGGUACUUGAGAUGAUUUGGAACUUUCUCGAUUAACCAGCUUGUUUUGCCAGAAUAUGAAGAAAAACAAAUACAAGUUGUACAGCAUGAAGAGACAUUGCCCCUGAUUAUGAUCCCUGGCGCGACCGGGUCCAUGGUUUCCCGAUCAAGUGAAGCAGUCUUUGUGGAGUUAAACAUAAUUAUAAUCAUACCCAAGAAUAGAAAAAACACUUCUGACCACAAAAUAGAAUAACAGCUUGUUCAAACGUUACCUUAAACAUACAUGAAUGCUUUCGUCCAAAGUGUUACCUAAUUUCAGCAAAACUUAGAAACAGAAAGAUCCAAACCGCUGGGUCUUAAACGAACUUCUAUGUGCAUCAAAAAAAAAAAAGCAAAACUGAAAGAAAUGUCUGAAAAAAAUCACUUUCCCAACACUUGUUAUACGUCAAACUAUAUUUGUUCUAGCUGUAUCAGGAUUUAAACUUACGUAACGUAUUGCAAGGAAGGAAAUGCAUAUGAAGGGGGUUGGAAUGUAUUUUGUAUCAAUAUCGCCAUUCCUUCCGACACGCAAACCUUCGCGCCGGUGUUCGACCGAACCGAUUGCAAGAUAUGUUCAAUGAAAACAAGACUCGCCCAGGAGUACUUAAUUCCAAUAAGAUAUAAUUUUUGAUGAGGCCGACCCAGCGCAUUAUGAAUGUUUGAAAUCAGUCAAUUCAAUCUCGAUUGUGCGAUUAAGGCGGCAAAAAAAAAACGUUUUGGAAUUUUAUUCCUCUCAGUUAUGAAGGAGAAAUAUGUCUUAUAUGACCACAUGGCAAUGGCUAAAACGCACUGAGGUCAUGCAUUUAAGACGAUAUGAAAAGAAAUAGCGAAAUUCACUCAGUAAAUUCUGU
Long non-coding RNA from Pocillopora verrucosa, 1321 nucleotides. RefSeq lists it as uncharacterized. Lineage: Eukaryota; Metazoa; Cnidaria; Anthozoa; Scleractinia; Pocilloporidae. The record is from RefSeq and is a predicted model, not a curated record.